GAGACACCCCUAUGGAGCAGGACUUGCUUCAAUGGGGCUUUGGUGCUUAUUGAGUCUGUCCCUUGGGUGUGUCAUU
RNAcentral lists this microRNA precursor (76 nucleotides) under Myotis davidii. Its description in RNAcentral is "mir-9229 microRNA precursor family". It matches the Rfam family "mir-9229 microRNA precursor family". The record is from Rfam by way of RNAcentral. Lineage: Eukaryota; Metazoa; Chordata; Mammalia; Chiroptera; Vespertilionidae.